Molecule: long non-coding RNA, 2481 nt
Organism: Callithrix jacchus (white-tufted-ear marmoset)
Lineage: Eukaryota; Metazoa; Chordata; Mammalia; Primates; Cebidae
Source: Ensembl
GGGACAAUCAGAUGGAAAAUUGACAUUUUGUUUGUCUCUGCCGUUGGUUGUUUUCAUCCUUGGGCUGUUCCAGCCCCAAGCAGCCUCAGGCCAGCCCCCUGCCCAUGCUGGGCUCUCCACAGGCCCUGGAACCCUCACCCCAGUGCAGCUGGCCUGGUGAAACCAAGAGUGCCUGAGGCCCGAAAUAGCCAGGAAACCCCACCGAGCCCCAGCCCUGGCAGCAGGUGCCUCCUUCUCCCCAGGGUUGGGGGUGGGAGGGACCUCAGUUUCCAAAGCUUCCAUGAGCCCAGCUGGAAGAAUGCUGGGCACCCAGCUGGUGCCAGCACCAAGGCACCCAAGCCCCAUGCCCAGGCUUGAGUUAGACAGGAGAUCAUGGUUAAUCAAUGGUCGGAAGUAGCAUCUUCUGCUCCAGAAGCUUCUAUUCAUGCAGGCCCUGCCCUCUCCUCACAGCUCCCCAGGAACUGUUCUAAACACCAGGUCCAGAGCUGCGGCCAAUUAGGGGGCACAGCCAGACACUUGGAGCUCAGAGGGGCCCAGUAGGCAGGUAAAUCGACCCAACAGAUGAGAAACAGUGUCUACUGGGGUGGGAAGGGCUGGCUGGGGCUGGACCUGGGACUCUGCAGGUCACACUCCACCUGCUGCCCCCAGGCCUUGGACCCUUCAAGGGGGCUGGGCCAAGGAUGGUGAGGGGAAGGGAAAUAAGGGCCCUUCCAAGAGCUUCCCUAGGAGCCCAGAGCCUGGGGCAAUAACGAAGCUCCUGGAAGUACAGCUGCCAAGAGGACUUCCGGGGUCCCUCCCAGUGGACAGGACCUCAGACUGGCUCACCCAUGGGGCUGAGCAGGGUGGUCCUAGACCCAGCCAUCUUCAAUCAGCUCAUCCACUGCCAUUCACUGGCAUCCUCACCACCAUCCCCUUAACGUGCACAGGAUGCCAGCCAGCCAGGCCAGUUUCUAUGGUGAAGCAAGUGAGCCUUGGAACACAUUCACCUUUGACCCAGAAAUCCUGCUCAUAAGAACUUAUCAUGGAGAUGCCAGGGGACCACUGCAAGUGGAUGCAAGGCCAGGGAGCUAUGGCAAAAUGUUACGGAAAAGAGUCCAAGAGCAGAUGCCAGGCAGAUGCCAGCCUCAUAUCCACAUCCCCAGAUGGCCUUGGAGAAGUGCCAUAGACUGACGUCCAAACAGGGCACUCGAGGAAAGAAGUUCCUAUCUUUGUGAUAAGUUCAUCAUCUCAUACAGAGAAGGAUCUGGAAGGCGCCAUACCAAGGUGCUAACAGGUCCUCUUGGGCAGUGCAACAUCAGAGACUAGCUUUAUAUUCUUCUUUAUGAUUUUCCAUUUUCUGAUAUCUCAAAAAACAGGAAAUUGUUUUAUAAUCAGUUUAAUCAGUCAUUAAACUGAGUUAAGAUAUAAGAUCCUCUAAAAAAAACAGUGUACUUGAUGAUUUGAAUGGCAUCUGAAAAGGCUUGAACAUAAUAUUACCCCAAAGAGGUCACCAGACAAGAUGUGACCCAAUGUGUGUGCAUGAAUCCCUGCAUCUGUAUCCGUACCUAGAUGCGUACCUAGAUCCGUACCUAGAUGCAUAUCCAUAUCUACAUCUAUUCCUGGGGCUACCCAUUGAGGGGGUAAACAGCAGAUAAUGUUGGUUUUCGUUUUGUAUAUCUAACUUUUUUCAUUUUUUCAACAAUAAUUAUACAUUUAUUGUGCAGUCAUGAAAAAUAGGUUUUUGUCACUUAAAUCAGCAGGUUCAUUCCAAUUCACUUGAUAUUUUGUGUGCCUGCUACACCCCAACAGGCAGGGGGCAGGGUUUGAGAUUACACUGAUGAGAAGAUAGAGUGGUCUCUCUUGAGUAGUACAGUGGAGGAUUAUAUGGAAAGAGGUCACUAUGAUCCUAACAUGGAUUCACAUCCUCUGCAUCUUAGGUGCUGCCCAAAGUCCUGAAAUUGUCUCACAGCUCCAGCCAGCACAGAGGCAGGAAGCCCAGGGAAAGUGGCUGAGCCAUAAAAAUGGAAAGAGAUCACGCCUGUAAUCCCAGCACUUUGGGCGGCUGAGACGGGAGGAUAACAAGGUCAGGAAUUCAAGACCAGCCUGGCCAAUAUGGUGAAACCCCAUCUCUACUAAAAAUAUAAAAAUUAGCCAGACGUGGUGGCGGGAUCCUGUAGUCCCAGCUACUUAGGAGGCUGAGUCAGAAGAAUGGCUUGAAUCUGGGAAGCAGAGGUUGCAGUGAGCUGAGAUCGCAGCACUGCACUCCAACCUGGGUGAUAGAGCAAGACUCCAUCUCAAAAAAAAAAAAAAUGGAAAGAGAGGGUAUUUGGGGGGUAUGAGUACCUAGCAGCAGACAUUUAGCAAAGAGGAUUGAAAAAUGCACCCCCUUAAAAUACAGUUAAACACAGAGGAGGGAGCAACCACAAAAAAAAAAAAAAAAAAAAAAAAAAAAAAAAAAAAAAAAAAAAAACGUUGAAGCAAUUUCUGCAAAGAGCAAUAAAA